AUGUUAACCUUCACUGUAGUCCUGUUAUCCGAAUUUCUCUUAAUAGCAUUUCAUGGUGUUUCUGCAGCUGAAGAAAUCAUAUUCCCUAACAACGAAACGGUAAUUGCCAAAACAGACGAAAAAGUUCUCCUAUCCUGCAGCUACACUGGCACAGUUUAUGACUUAUAUUGGUACCGUCAAUCCCCUGGAUCAGCACCUCAGUUCCUCAUAAUGGAAUCAUCUGGAGUUAUAAUACAUGCUACUCCUCAGGUUCCUGGGAUAAAAAUGGUCAAUAAAAAGAACAUCAAGCAUGUGGAGUUGGAGAUCUUCAGUACAUCAGUGGAACAUUCAGCUGUGUAUUACUGCGCUGUGCAGCCCACAGUGAAAGAAAACACUCUGACUCCAUACAAAAACCUCAGCAAUCCUCAGUCACAUAGAGACAGAAGGCAGAUAUACUGUGUGUGA
This is a non-coding RNA of Danio aesculapii, 444 nucleotides long. The record is from the annotation of a RefSeq genome assembly. Lineage: Eukaryota; Metazoa; Chordata; Actinopteri; Cypriniformes; Danionidae.